This 554-nucleotide ribosomal RNA is filed under the name uncultured bacterium. RNAcentral's name for it is "partial 16S ribosomal RNA". It matches the Rfam family "Bacterial small subunit ribosomal RNA", at positions 355 to 900 of the family's 1533-position model. The record is from RNAcentral.
UAGGGAAUCUUCGGCAAUGGACGAAAGUCUGACCGAGCAACGCCGCGUGAGUGAAGAAGGUUUUCGGAUCGUAAAACUCUGUUGUUAGAGAAGAACGUUGCAUAGAGUGGAAAAUUAUGCAAGUGACGGUAUCUAACCAGAAAGGGACGGCUAACUACGUGCCAGCAGCCGCGGUAAUACGUAGGUCCCGAGCGUUGUCCGGAUUCAUUGGGCGUAAAGCGAGCGCAGGUGGUUUAAUAAGUCUGAUGUAAAAGGCAGUGGCUCAACCAUUGUGUGCAUUGGAAACUGUUAGACUUGGGUGCAGUAGAGGAGAGUGGAAUUCCAUGUGUAGCGGUGAAAUGCGUAGAUAUAUGGAGGAACACCGGUGGCGAAAGCGGCUCUCUGGACUGUCACUGACACUGAGGCUCGAAAGCGUGGGUAGCAAACAGGAUUAGAUACCCUGGUAGUCCACGCCGUAAACGAUGAGUGCUAGUUGUUUGGGGCUAUCCAGCCCUAAGUGACGCAGCAAACGCAUUAAGCACUCCGCCUGGGGAGUACGACCGCAAGGUUGAAAC